AUCAUGAACAAACGGAUAAAAUGAAUGAUGUUUCAUUGAUUUGUAAGACUGUCUGCAUUCUUGAAUCCCACCACCAAUGCGAAGUUGCAAUACAGUCGGAGCCUGCUGGCGGUGACUUCAGGUGAAGGGCCCAUGGUUCUGGAAUGAUCAGCCAGAGGAUGGAAAGAGUUCGGGAAUGUUAUCACGGAAAACAACUGCAUUCCUACUCCUGUAUUCUCAUACGUUGAUGCGAUCAACGAAGCAAGGUGAUUUCACUCCAGUUUGUACCACGGAGCUCUGGAUGAUGGCUGCUCAAACAGAGCUUUGGUAGAGGGGGUGUGAAGCUCAUAGGAUUGUCUUGAGAAGAAGUUCGAUCUCAUUCCGAGUGGAUCAAGGAUAUCAAAGCCUAUAAUGUGAGUUUUUCGAUACACCGUGAUUCUUUUGGUAUUUGAAUAGUAAGGAGAAAAAAAGCACGUUUUGGUGAAAUAUGUUCGACAAAAGCAUUCCUUCAUCAUCACUAGAACGAUGAGUCUUUAAUGUUUUGAUUUUUUUUUUCUAUAAUAUAUGUUAACAUUCAGUAUC
Long non-coding RNA from Cucurbita moschata (crookneck pumpkin), 561 nucleotides. RefSeq lists it as uncharacterized. The transcript is spliced from 3 exons. Lineage: Eukaryota; Viridiplantae; Streptophyta; Magnoliopsida; Cucurbitales; Cucurbitaceae. The record is from RefSeq and is a predicted model, not a curated record.